Molecule: long non-coding RNA, 3394 nt
Organism: Mustela erminea (ermine)
Lineage: Eukaryota; Metazoa; Chordata; Mammalia; Carnivora; Mustelidae
Exons: 3
Source: RefSeq, a predicted model, not a curated record
UGCUUUCUUCUGAAUUCUUUGAUUCUUCCCUGAAUAAAAGUGGGAGAAACAGUAAAUAUCGUGGCAUAGCUCCAUUCUUUGUUACUUCCCGGCUGGUUUCUACUAUCCUGGAGUAAUAGGUAUUCUACUUUGCUCCACAUGGGAAUGAGUGCACGUUAUUUAAAACUUCUUUCUGUGCAUCUGCUACUUGUCAACUCAUGAUCUUCUGAUCCUUGAAGAUUUGACAACCCUGUGAUUUGCUGUAAUGGAAUUACUGAAAAGUUAUCAACAAAGACGUUGCAAUGUCAUUGAAGGAAUGAAUUGGAGAAUCUUUUCUUCUUAGUCUAAAUGAAAUAAUAAAUAUAAAUAUGCAACAGAGACGGCAGAAAAGAGCUAAUCGCCAUAUUGAGCAGCAUUCUGGAGAGGCCACAUGGAGAGAAAUUGAAACCUCUUAACAGCAAGUACCAACUUGUCGGCCAUGGGAAUGAUCCACCUUGGAAGUGGAUUAUUCGGCCCCAAUCAAACCUUCAGGUAACUGCAACUCAAGUCAUUAUUUUGACCAGCACUUCAUGAGAAGUCUCAGGCUUGAAUCGUUCGUCUAAGAGGUUAUUGAGUCCUGACCCACCAAAACUUUGUGAUGUGAUAAAUAUUUAUCAUUGCUUCAAACUACUAAGCUUGGGUGCAAUUUGUUAUACAGCAAUAGAUAAGUAACCCAGAGGUAAUUUCUGGAGAUAACCUGAGGACAUUGUCUAUGGUUUUUUCAUUAGUGAAUCUCACGCCAUAUAGUACCUGACUCAUAGUUUGGUAGUACAUGAAAGAAUGAAGGUCAUGAUAUUACAUUCACUGAAUGGCCUUCCCAUUGUUUAGCUUCUUGGAAUGAGGAAAGACAAACAUUCUGAGUGACAGGAAGUAUGUACAGGGAAGUGGGGUUCUGUGUGCAGAAGAAAUACGGUCUUCAUGUAAAGACAGAGCACUCAGGGGAAGGUAGGUGCUCACUUUUUGAUAGGUGUUACAGGAUUGUUCACAACUCUGAGCAGUACUGUAGAAGUCAGAGACCAAAAAUUUCCUGAGGAUGAUAAAAAUUAUAUCAAAGAUGUCCUGUUUGGGCCUGCAUCCUUUUCUUUUAUCAUAGAAAGUGAUUAGACUGAUCAUCAGAAAAACUGAUCUGUUCUUCAAAGAAGCUGUUGGUUGCUGCUUAGUGACUUCUGUUCUGCUAUGCUGGCUACUCAUGGAAUCUGGGUUGAUUUGGCCUUCUAUCUUCUCAGUCCAUUCAUUCUUUCCUUAUAGCAAAGAUAAACCCAAGAUCUAUUUUCUAAGUAUUUUGAAGAAAUGCUGAUUGAAUAUCAGACAAGAGCAACAGAAGUAAGUACGCAUCCGUAUAACAAACUCUUAGAACUUCAGAAGUAGUCAUGCAACUAAAAUCAUUAUCCCUGUGUUCUAUAGUUCAUAACAUUUUCCUUUAUCUUGGAAGCUUUAAAGAAGAUAUUCAAGACAAUGAACUUCACCCGUAUUUUAUUAAUAUAAUUUUGGCAUAAUGCUUCUGUGUAUCAGUAUUUUUCCAAUCUAUAAUUGAGGAAUGAAAAACAGUAAGAAAAAAAUAUAGAGUCAAAGUGGUUUUCAGUUGGAACAUCUUGGAAGAGUCCUCUGGAAUCAAAAGCGGUAUUAUAAAUUAGAUAUCGAUCUCUCUUUCUUGUAUGUAUUAUUUUUAAAUGGGUUAUGUUUAAAAGAAAAAGAGAGACGACGCUUGAGUAAGAAUCACAGGACAAGAGAGAGUAUUCCAAGGAGGGAGAAAUAAUAGGUAAGGUGUUUGAAAAGGGAGACAGAUGGGGUGAGACAUACACAAAGGUCAGCAAGUUCAAGUCUUUGACUGGAGCAAUGAGUGUGGGCUGAAUAGUCCCCUCUUGCCCAUCUGCCUUCUUGCACCACGACUUCUCAUAUCAUGUUUCUUCCCUGCAUUCAGGCUCAGAAAAGGUAAGUGUGAACUGAAAUGAGUUCACUCCACCCAGCGUGAGCUCUAGCAAACCCUUCUGCACACAGCGGGGUAUAUGUGGAAACAAGACUGAAUUAUCAGUGUGGAUGGAGCCAAACAGAGAAAAGAAGAGUUGGGGCCAGGAUGAAGUCACACGACUGACACAUGUAUUCUGUACAAAGUUUUUGUGUUUUCAAGUCAAAAGACUACUUUUCAAUGUUUGGAAGAAUGAAAACCAUGGUGGUUGUGCAUUGUUCUUGUUGGAUGUACAUUUGGUUCAGUAUCUUUCAACAGUGACAACUAAACAACAGAGUUAAAUAUACAUCCUUUUUUAACUGGAAAAAUAAUGUGUUCUCUUUGAAGAAAAUUUGGAAAUGCAGAGAAGUACAGGGAAGGAAAAAGAAUAGGAAAAAACUACUACCAUGAAAAACACAUUAUUUGUUUGGUAUAUUUUCUUUUUUUUUAGCCCAGUUCCCCCUUUUUGUCUAUGCAUGGUGCUUGAUACCCCUCCACACACAAUUUUGUAUUUGUCCUUUUUCAUUUAAUUUGAUUUUACAAGUAAUUUCCUUAUUAAUUAAUUUUUUAUAAAUGGCUAUGCCAUCUUUCCUCAUGUGUGAAAAUGUGGCUAUUGUUUUCUUAACUAUCCCUCUCUUUCUAGGCAUUUAGGAUGGUUUGAUAGUCACUGUUAUAAAUGAUGUUAUGAUAAACUUCUUUGUGUACUACGUUAUUUCUGGAUUUAAAAAUUCCUUAAAGGAUAGAUUUCUGGGAAUUUUAUCCUUUAUCAAAGGAUAAAAAUAGCAUGUACAUUACUCUUUAUGAUUGUAUGAGCAUUGGCUGGAUAUUUUGAUGAAGUAUAUUUCCUCUUCACAAUUAAUGGAUGCUAAUCAAGAUCCAAAAUCAUAUAUAAGACAUGUCUAUUUAGACCUGGGCUUCUCUUCAGACUUCAGAACUUGGUGUCUUCACUGUGGUUGUUCUCCUGUGUCUUGAAAUCCAUCGUGAUGCUGCAUGUUUGGCAAGCAUUGGAUUGUAGGCCAACAGACACGACUUUUCCCUGAAUGAUUUCUCAUGGAAGAGAUGGGGGUGGGGAUGAGGGAAGGAGAAUAAGAUAACUCUACAAACAAUAUGCAAGACAUCAAUAAACGUGCUUUGCCAAAUAGUUUGAGAAUCUGAGAAGACACAAUAAUGCUUACAACAUAGACUCCCCUUUCUAUUUUUUCACUGUUUCAAAAAUACAAACGUUUUGGGAUAUGCCUUCCGAUAAAGCUCCACUGAAAUCACGCCUGCGCAGAAUGUUUACAUACAAUACAGAAACCUUUGUGAACAAAGACGUGUUGUUGAAGUGAUCUUGCUCACCUCUAUCUCCUUUAGAGACUCACCUUUUGUAAAUAAAAUGGAAGCUGAUGGUUUUAUUCAGUUACUGUUUUAGAUGUUUGCUUUUCACUAACC